GGGGUUGUGGCUCAGCGGUAGAGCACUCACCUAGCACGUGCGGAGCCCUGGGUUUGAUCCUCAGCACCACA
RNAcentral lists this transfer RNA (71 nucleotides) under Marmota monax (woodchuck). RNAcentral describes it as "tRNA.Ala". It matches the Rfam family "tRNA". From Rfam's summary of the family: Transfer RNA (tRNA) molecules are approximately 80 nucleotides in length. Their secondary structure includes four short double-helical elements and three loops (D, anti-codon, and T loops). Lineage: Eukaryota; Metazoa; Chordata; Mammalia; Rodentia; Sciuridae. The record is from RNAcentral.